CUUGCCCUUUCCUAGUGCUGGAGGUCGGGCAGAGAUGCUGACUCAGCGGGCUUUCUGCCUUGUGCUCGAUUUCCCAUCUGCAGACCGAUAGCUGGGAUGGGACGAACGUGACCGUUGCUGGGGCUUACAGGGAAGGGCAGGAGGGCCUUGCAUAGGAGCAGCCCUGCUCAGAAGGGCUGUUUCCCCGGCUGGCCUGGCUGCAUCUUCUUCCCAUCCUCUUUGAAGGAAGGCAUUUAGCAUCACCUUACCGUCUCCCAAAAACGCACUAUGUGCAAUGCGAACCAGGAGAUCGCGUGCAAUUUCCUGGUCUCCCAGCAGAUCAGGCCUGGCUGUUGUUUGGACUAGUGACUAGGCGCAGCCCCAAAAGCCCCGGCGAUUUGUCUAAACCUUAUUACCCAUGUCCUUGAGAAGCACUGCCUCCCAAAGAUGCCACCUCCCUGAUGGGAAGGGUUCCAACUAAUCCAAUGUCCCGCUUGCUUUCUCAAGGGACGGACCGAGAGGCUGCGCACAAGGAGGCGUUUUUGGAAGGAAGCAGUGGCUCCCUGCCAGCCUCUGCUGAAGAAACAGAGGCGAUGCAAGCCAACGGCAUGCCAGGGCUGUCAAAGGCCGGAGGAGACCACCAUGGCAGCGUAUAUGAAUUUUUCCGCACAGACUCAGGUGUGGCUGGCGAGACAAUCCCAAGCGUUUCCAACCCCCAGAGCACCGCAAGUUUUUUCUGUCCCCAAGAUGUGCGAAGACGCUGUAUGAUAGGCACAGCAGCAGUCGUGAUUUCCGUGCCACUUGCAAUAGCAUUGUGCUAUGUCAUGAUCCGACGGCGGAGAAA
Molecule: non-coding RNA, 823 nt
Organism: Phalacrocorax carbo (great cormorant)
Lineage: Eukaryota; Metazoa; Chordata; Aves; Suliformes; Phalacrocoracidae
Source: RefSeq, a predicted model, not a curated record